Molecule: long non-coding RNA, 660 nt
Filed under: Panax ginseng (ginseng)
Lineage: Eukaryota; Viridiplantae; Streptophyta; Magnoliopsida; Apiales; Araliaceae
Description: long non-coding RNA (PGIN_LNC005837)
Source: RNAcentral
CAGCCGUAGAAACACACAUCUGGAUCGCUCACUACCUAAUUAUACUCUCCUUCUUUCCUUCAUUUCACUCGUCCAAAAAUAAAAUUCACUACUGCUAUUGCUGUUGAGCUUAAUAAUAUCUCCUCUACCCGCCUGGAGGCUGGAGGUUGCAGUCGGCACCUUUUCCUUCCAUACUGAGAAGUCAGGAGAUAUAGAGAGAGAGGUUUGUUUAAGUGGGGUUUCUUAAGGGAUUUUUUUUUUUGAAAAAGGGAUUUAAGGGGUUCAGGGGAAAGAUUAAGAGGGGAUUUUGUAGAAUUGCUUUCGUUUUCAGAGACUACAAAUGGUAAGAACAGGUGCGUCUUUGCUUUCGCUGAAAUUGAUUCCAUUUUUGUUAGCCCAUACUGUUUCAUUUCAUACUACCAGUACUACUAGAAUAUUGAGGAACCCAUUUAAUCCCAAUCCUAAAUUUGCCCCUCCCUUAACAAUAGCGGAUCGGAGAAAAUUAUAUCAAUUAUUGUCUGAUAAAUGCAAAUCCGGAUUUGCUAAGCUCAAAGAUGCUCUUAUUGUAUUGGAUGUAAUGCUCAAAAUAAACCCUUUGCCGGCUAUUUACGCGGCUUUUGUUAGAAUGGAGCAUUACUCAACUGUUGUCUCCCUGUUUAAAGAAAUUUGUGCUGCACGAAU